GAGGGGGAGGAUCACCCAGCAAGAGCUGCUAACUCUCGCUUCUGAGACUAAAACCUCAGCCCCCUUA
RNAcentral lists this transfer RNA (67 nucleotides) under Alauda arvensis (Eurasian skylark). RNAcentral describes it as "tRNA-Ser". The record is from RNAcentral. Lineage: Eukaryota; Metazoa; Chordata; Aves; Passeriformes; Alaudidae.